AACGAACGCUGGCUGCAUGCCUAACACAUGCAAGUCGAACGAGACCUUCGGGUCUAGUGGCGCACGGGUGCGUAACGCGUGGGAACCUGCCCUUAGGUUCGGAAUAACUCCCCGAAAGGGGUGCUAAUACCGGAUAAUGUCUUCGGACCAAAGAUUUAUCGCCUUUGGAUGGGCCCGCGUUGGAUUAGCUAGUUGGUAGGGUAAAAGCCUACCAAGGCGACGAUCCAUAGCUGGUCUGAGAGGAUGAUCAGCCACACUGGGACUGAGACACGGCCCAGACUCCUACGGGAGGCAGCAGUGGGGAAUAUUGGACAAUGGGCGAAAGCCUGAUCCAGCAAUGCCGCGUGAGUGAUGAAGGCCUUAGGGUUGUAAAGCUCUUUUACCCGGGAUGAUAAUGACGGUACCGGGAGAAUAAGCUCCGGCUAACUCCGUG
Molecule: ribosomal RNA, 433 nt
Filed under: uncultured bacterium
Lineage: Bacteria
Description: partial 16S ribosomal RNA
Rfam family: Bacterial small subunit ribosomal RNA
Source: RNAcentral